Molecule: ribosomal RNA, 297 nt
Filed under: uncultured bacterium
Lineage: Bacteria
Description: partial 16S ribosomal RNA
Rfam family: Bacterial small subunit ribosomal RNA
Source: RNAcentral
GGAAUCCUACGGGGGGCAGCAGUGAGGAAUAUUGGUCAAUGGACGAGAGUCUGAACCAGCCACGUAGCGUGAAGGAUGACUGCCCUAUGGGUUGUAAACUUCUUUUAUAAAGGAAUAAAACGAGGCACGUGUGCCUUUUUGCAUGUACUUUAUGAAUAAGGAUCGGCUAACUCCGUGCUAGCAGCCGCGGUAAUACGGAGGAUCCGAGCGUUAUCCGGAUUUAUUGGGUUUAAAGGGAGCGUAGAUGGGUUGUUAAGUCAGUUGUGAAAGUUUGCGUCUCAACCGUAAAAUUGCAAU